UACGUAGGGUGCGAGCGUUGUCCGGAAUUAUUGGGCGUAAAGAGCUUGUAGGCGGUUUGUCGCGUCUGCUGUGAAAAUCCGGGGCUCAACCCCGGACUUGCAGUGGGUACGGGCAGACUAGAGUGUGGUAGGGGAGACUGGAAUUCCUGGUGUAGCGGUGAAAUGUGUAGAGAUCGGGAGGAACACCGGUGGCGAAGGCGGGUCUCUGGGCAUUUCCUGACGCUGAGGCGCGAAAGCGUGGGGAGCAAACGGG
This 253-nucleotide ribosomal RNA is filed under the name uncultured bacterium. RNAcentral describes it as "partial 16S ribosomal RNA". It matches the Rfam family "Bacterial small subunit ribosomal RNA", at positions 524 to 776 of the family's 1533-position model. The record is from RNAcentral.